GAUGAACGCUAGCGGGAGGCUUAAUACAUGCAAGUCGAGGGGUAACAGGGAACUUCGGUUCCGCUGACGACCGGCGCACGGGUGCGUAACGCGUACACAAUCUACCUAUUGGAGGGGGAUAGCCUUUGGAAACGAAGAUUAAUACCCCAUAGUAUCUUAAAGUCGCAUGGCUUAAAGAUUAAAGAAUUUCGCCAAUAGAUGAGUGUGCGUCCUAUUAGCUAGUUGGUAAGGUAACGGCUUACCAAGGCUACGAUAGGUAGGGGGCGUGAGAGCGUGACCCCCCACACGGGCACUGAGACACGGGCCCGACUCCUACGGGAGGCAGCAGUAAGGAAUAUUGGACAAUGGGCGCAAGCCUGAUCCAGCCAUCCCGCGUGCAGGAUGACUGCCCUAUGGGUUGUAAACUGCUUUUAUUAGGGAAGAAACCUUCUAACGUGUUAGAAGCUGACGGUACCUAAAGAAUAAGCACCGGCUAACUCCG
Molecule: ribosomal RNA, 481 nt
Filed under: uncultured Saprospiraceae bacterium
Lineage: Bacteria; Pseudomonadati; Bacteroidota; Saprospiria; Saprospirales; Saprospiraceae
Description: bacterial SSU rRNA
Rfam family: Bacterial small subunit ribosomal RNA
Source: RNAcentral